AACUUGUGCUAAUACCGGAUAAGUCUUUACAGAGAAAGCUUUAUGCACCAUUGGAUGAGCCUGCACUUGAUUAGUUUGUUGGUGGGGUAAUGGCCUACCAAGACUGUGAUCAAUAGCUGAUUUGAGAGGAUGAUCAGCCACAUUGGGACUGAGACACGGCCCAAACUCCUACGGGAGGCAGCAGUGGGGAAUCUUGCACAAUGGAGGAAACUCUGAUGCAGCGAUGCCGCGUGAGUGAAGAAGGCCCUUGGGUUGUAAAGCUCUUUCGUCGGGGAAGAAAAUGACUGUACCCGAAUAAGAAG
RNAcentral lists this ribosomal RNA (302 nucleotides) under uncultured bacterium. RNAcentral describes it as "bacterial SSU rRNA". It matches the Rfam family "Bacterial small subunit ribosomal RNA", at positions 155 to 490 of the family's 1533-position model. The record is from RNAcentral.